UUUCGCGUUUCACCACGCCUCCCAUCCGUGGAGCAGGAAUCCCAUUCUUAUAUGGAUGCUUUGCUUUCUGAAACAGUUUAGAAGUUCAGUGCGCAAGUCCGAUUACAUGGCCUUGAGAUUGGGUUUCAUCACCAAUCACAAGCUGCCGCC
Long non-coding RNA from Salvia splendens (bonfire salvia), 150 nucleotides. RefSeq lists it as uncharacterized. NCBI's taxonomy places the organism in Eukaryota, Viridiplantae, Streptophyta, Magnoliopsida, Lamiales, Lamiaceae. The record is from RefSeq and is a predicted model, not a curated record. The transcript is spliced from 3 exons.